Molecule: ribosomal RNA, 492 nt
Filed under: uncultured bacterium
Lineage: Bacteria
Description: partial 16S ribosomal RNA
Rfam family: Bacterial small subunit ribosomal RNA
Source: RNAcentral
AGUGAACGCUGGCGGUAGGCCUAACACAUGCAAGUCGAACGGCAGCACAGUAAGAGCUUGCUCUUACGGGUGGCGAGUGGCGGACGGGUGAGGAAUACAUCGGCAUCUACUUUUUCGUGGGGGAUAACGUAGGGAAACUUACGCUAAUACCGCAUACGACCUACGGGUGAAAGCAGGGGAUCUUCGGACCUUGCGCGAUUGAAUGAGCCGAUGUCGGAUUAGCUAGUUGGCGGGGUAAAGGCCCACCAAGGCGACGAUCCGUAGCUGAUCUGAGAGGAUGAUCAGCCACACUGGAACUGAGACACGGUCCAGACUCCUACGGGAGGCAGCAGUGGGGAAUAUUCGACAAUGGGCGCAAGCCUGAUCCAGCCAUACCGCGUGGGUGAAGAAGGCCUUCGGGUUGUAAAGCCCUUUUGUUGGGAAAGAAAAGCUGCAGGUUAAUCCCCCGCUGUUCUGACGGUACCCAAAGAAUAAGCACCGGCUAACUUCGUG